GACGAACGCUGGCGGCGUGCUUAACACAUGCAAGUCGAACGGAAAGGCCCUGCUUUUGUGGGGUGCUCGAGUGGCGAACGGGUGAGUAACACGUGAGUAACCUGCCCUUGACUUUGGGAUAACUUCAGGAAACUGGGGCUAAUACCGGAUAGGAGCUCCUGCUGCAUGGUGGGGGUUGGAAAGUUUCGGCGGUGGGGGAUGGACUCGCGGCUUAUCAGCUUGUUGGUGGGGUAGUGGCUUACCAAGGCUUUGACGGGUAGCCGGCCUGAGAGGGUGACCGGCCACAUUGGGACUGAGAUACGGCCCAGACUCCUACGGGAGGCAGCGGUGGGGAAUAUUGCACAAUGGGCGGAAGCCUGAUGCAGCGACGCCGCGUGCGGGAUGACGGCCUUCGGGUUGUAAACCGCUUUCGCCUGUGACGAAGCGUGAGUGACGGUAAUGGGUAAAGAAGCACCGGCUAACUACGUG
RNAcentral lists this ribosomal RNA (468 nucleotides) under uncultured bacterium. RNAcentral describes it as "partial 16S ribosomal RNA". It matches the Rfam family "Bacterial small subunit ribosomal RNA", at positions 28 to 507 of the family's 1533-position model. The record is from RNAcentral.